CCCUUAGAUGUUCUGGGCUGCACGCGCGCUACACUGAUGCAUCCAACAAGUUUUCUCCCUUGUUCGGUAGGACUGGGUAAUCUUUUGAGUAUGCAUCGUGAAGGGGAUAGAUUAUUGCAAUUAUUAAUCUUCAACGAGGAAUUCCUAGUAAGCGCAAGUCAACAGCUUGCGUUGAUUACGUCCCUGCCCUUUGUACACACCGCCCGUCGCUACUACUGAUUGGAUGUUUAAGCGAGGUUCUCGAACUGCUAGCGACUUAGCUUCGGUGAGGUCGCAGUGUGGGAAGUGAACCUAGCUUUGGUGUCUAGAGGAAGUAAAAGUCGUAACA
This 328-nucleotide ribosomal RNA is filed under the name uncultured eukaryote. RNAcentral's name for it is "partial 18S ribosomal RNA". It matches the Rfam family "Eukaryotic small subunit ribosomal RNA", at positions 1470 to 1796 of the family's 1831-position model. The record is from RNAcentral.